RNAcentral lists this ribosomal RNA (449 nucleotides) under uncultured Anaerolineaceae bacterium. RNAcentral's name for it is "bacterial SSU rRNA". It matches the Rfam family "Bacterial small subunit ribosomal RNA", at positions 920 to 1382 of the family's 1533-position model. The record is from RNAcentral. Lineage: Bacteria; Bacillati; Chloroflexota; Anaerolineae; Anaerolineales; Anaerolineaceae.
CCCGGCACAAGCAGCGGAGCGUGUGGUUUAAUUCGAUGUUACACGAAGAACCUUACCUGGGUUUGACAUGCUAGUGGUAAUGAAGCGAAAGCUAAGUGACCCGCAAGGGAGCUAGCACAGGUGCUGCAUGGCUGUCGUCAGCUCGUGUCGUGAGAUGUUCGGUUAAGUCCGCUAACGAGCGCAACCCUCGUCGUAUGUUAUAUGUGUCAUACGAGACUGCCGGUAAAAGCCGGAGGAAGGUGAGGAUGAUGUCAAGUCAGCAUGACCUUUAUAUCCAGGGCUACACACACGCUACAAUGGUCUGUACAAUGGGUAGCCAAGCCGCGAGGCGGAGCCAAUCCUGAAAGCAGGCCUCAGUUCAGAUUGCAGUCUGCAACUCGACUGCAUGAAGCCGGAGUUGCUAGUAACCGCAGGUCAGCAAUACUGCGGUGAAUACGUUCCCGGGUCUU